RNAcentral lists this long non-coding RNA (5285 nucleotides) under Sus scrofa (pig). RNAcentral's name for it is "lncRNA (ENSSSCG00005011607.1)". The record is from RNAcentral. Lineage: Eukaryota; Metazoa; Chordata; Mammalia; Artiodactyla; Suidae.
GCCCCACACGCCUCCAAGUUAAGGGGAUGGAGGCAGGUGCCAGGGUGAGCCUUCGCCCUCUGUCCCCGCAGCCGAGGCGGUGAGAAGGGGUACCUGGGAGGGCAAGGCAGGACCCCAUCCCCUGCUUUGCUUCAGGAGACCCUGCAGCUGAAGGAGAAGGAGGGCUGCUCCCAGGCCUUCCACGCGCUCCUCUCCUGGCUUCUGACCCGGGACGCGGCCGUCAUCCUGGACUUCUGGAGGGUUCUCUUCAAGGACUACAACCUGGAGAGAUAUGCCAGGCUGCAGCCCAUCCUCGACAGCUUCCCCAAAGAUGUGGACCUCAGCCAGCCCCGGAAGGCAAGGAAGCCCCUGGCCAGCUCCAAGGCCGCUGUGCUGCUGCCCAGGCCCCCUGCCAAGAGGAAGGCCCUGGAGGAGCCGCGGGCCACCCCGCCCACAGCCCUGUCCCCGAGGGCCACCUCCAGCCCAGGUACCCAGUGUGAGGAGCGGGGGAGGGGAGGGGGCACAGAUUCCCCCCGGGAGCCUGACACCCUCCUUCACACCAGGCCCUGGGACCAUCUGCCCUUCCUGCUUGGCCCAGAGCCAGCCUAGCAGAGGGCCCUCUGGGUACUUGGCCGGGCACCCUGGAUGGGUCCGGCAGCCCUGCUGCCCCCUGGGGGUGUACCUUCCCUCUCCUGAUGGGCGCCAGAGCUGGGAAAGCAAGGGGACCUGCUGGAGUUGGGGAGAUCCCACCUGGGCUCUCCACCUGCCCCCAGCCUUGGCCAGCAGGGACAGGGGGGCCAGGCUGUCUCUGCUCCCCCUACCCCCCACCAGCAGGCUCCCAGGCCAAGGCCAAGCCCUCCAAGAAGCCGGACAGCAAUGCAGAGCCACAGUGCCUCCCGCUGGGCAAUGGAAUCCAGACCAUGUCCACUUCGGUCCAGAGAGCCGUGGCCGUGUCGUCCGGGGACGUCCCAGGGGCCCACGGGGCCCUGGAGGGAAUCCUUAUCCAGCAGGUGUUCGGCUCAGGUAGACAGGGCACUGCCAGGGGCUCCGCGUCCCCACUCAGCUCCGUGGCGGCUCCAGGGCAGCGGGACACGGACUAGGCGGCCAGCGCCCCCACUCCCUGCAGUGGGUCUGCCGCCUCGGAGGGGUGGGGCUGGGCGACUCUGGACUGUCUGAGCAGCACCCGCCCCCUGCCCCACUCCUGCACCCCUCCUCCUCAGUCGCUGUGCUGGGCACCCUCUGGGGAUGCUGAGGACCCUGGGCGCUGACGCGGGCUCUGGCCUCACCCACCAGGGAGGGUCCCGAAGACCCCUGCAGUAGUUUCCUAGGGCUGUUACGACAAAGUGUCACAAACUAGGUGGCUCAAAGCAGGGGCAACUCCAAAAUGAAGCUGCGGGCGGGGCCCCACUUGCUCUCUGGGGAGGCUGUAGGGCAGAACCCUCCCGGCCUCCCUGCUCCUGGUGCUGCCUGCAACCCCCCUCCCCGGGCUUGUGGCCACGUCACUCCAGCCUCCUGGACACAGUCUCCUCCCUGUGUCUGUCUGCGUCCUCUUCUCUUCCCAUAAAGACACUGGCAUUGGACUUAAGGUCCAGAGUGAGCCCAUCUUAACCAAUCCCACCAGCAAAGACUCUACCUGCAAGUGAGCUUGCCUUCCGGGGUUCCAAGAGGCCGUGAAUCUGGGAGACAUGCUUCCCCAGGGAGUGGACCCCUCCUUGUGCAGGACCCUGGCCCCAGAGCUCUGGGGGGAGGAACAGCAAGCUGUACAGCCCCCUGCCCGGCCCCCCCUCUCCCCCCAGCUGGCUCCAAGAAGUGCAUCCAGGUUGGGGGGGAGUUUUACACUCCCAGCAAGUUUGAAGAGCCUGGCAGCGGCGGCGGCAGCAGCACCAAGAACAAGACCCGCAGUGGGGGCGGCGGCCUGAAGACCGUGGUCCGAGCCAAGGGGCCCCAAGCGGUUGCCCCUGUAAGCACUGCCUGCCGCCCCUGGGGAGGCCUGGCCCUGGGCCCCCUCCCAGCGCACCCUGGGCAGCAGGGGCAGCUCUGGGUCCAGAGCUCUCCUGGGGGAGGGGGACUGCCCCUCCUGCCCGCUGCAUCCCUUGCUGGUGACCCAUCCUCUCCUUCGCAGGGUGGAGGCAAUUCGAGGACCGGCCAGCAGGACAGGGCCCCAGCCCCUCCUGCCCUUCCCAGUGAGCCCCAGCCGCACCAGGUAACGCCCAGCCUGUCCCCAGGAUCCCAGGGGUGAGGGUGGCUCCCUCUUCACCUGGCCGCCUGGCCGGGGCACUGGCUGCAAGGGCUGGAGGACAGGGUCGAAGCUGCUGUUCGCAGAGUGGAGCUCUUUUUUUCUUUUAGUGGUAUUUUUUUUUCUGAUAGUACGCAAUUGCAAAAAUUCUUAAGUCAGAGCGAGCAAGUCAGCCUGGGCUCUUAAACCCACAGUGUUCGGUCCAGGCACAGGCCCUUCCGAGUCUCACAGCUGUGCCCUCGGGGGGGCGGGGGUAGGGGGUGAGUGGUGGAAACUGUCGGGCUCCCAGCACUGUUUCUGAACAAGGUAGAACCAGCCAUCUAUUCCAGCACCUUCUCCAGAGACUGCUGGGCCCCGGGCACUCAGCAAUGAGCAGGACCCCUGCCUGCCCCCAGGAGCUCCCAGGCUGGCAGAGUUGGGAUAGGGGGGUUGCUACCCCGGGGGGCUUCUGAAGGAGGUGGCAUCCAGCUGGGUGCAGUAGGCACCUUCCAGGCUGGGGCGCAAGCAGAGGGGACAGAGGCAGGGGGUAGGGGGAACACUGCUGGGCCUGCCCCUCCGCUGCCCUGUGAGGAAGGGGCUGUGUGGGGUGGGCUGUAGUCUCACGGCCGCGUGGAGCACAGGCACCCACGAGACACCAGGCUCUCCUAAGGACAGUCCUUCCCGAGGGGGGUGGACCCAGGAGGUGUUCGGGGCUACCGUCUCAGACAGAGGGGCCUCGGGGAGCCCUGGGGAGCAGGCAGGCAAGGCGGAAUUCCAGGCAGGGAGCAGGCUGGGGACCUGGGUGCCCCUGGGGGAUGCUGCCCGGGGAGCCGUCUGGCCGGGAGGGCGCCCAUCCCGGUCCCGCAGAGGAUGCCUGUCUCCCGACUGCGUCAGAAGAACGAGGACGAGUGCGCCGUGUGCCGGGAGCCUGGCCCUCCGCCCCCACCCGCCGACCCCGAGUGGGCGUGUCCGGAAGUCUCCCAUCCGGAGAGCGGAGAGGCCUCGAGCAGAGCUGAACGGAGGAUGGCGGAGCAGAACUGUCCCUUCUCACCCCAUCUCCCCAGACCAUACUCCCCUGCGCAGCUGACAGCAACGUCUGACUCCAAGNNNNNNNNNNNNNNNNNNNNNNNNNNNNNNNNNNNNNNNNNNNNNNNNNNNNNNNNNNNNNNNNNNNNNNNNNNNNNNNNNNNNNNNGCCCCCCCCCCCCCCCCCCCCCCCCGCGCUCCCACAGCCCCAGGGCUCUGGUCUGGGCGAAGAGCACUGGGUGGGAGUUGUGGUCCCGGCCCUGCCCCCACUUGCCGCUUGGCCCUGCCCAGGUCUCAUUUCUGAGCUAAAACAAAGGGGUUUGGCUGGGGUCCUCUGGCUCCACUCCACGCUGCCCCCCUUCCUUUCUCUUCCUUCCUGCCCUUGACCGGCUCUGCUCCGUGGGCACCAUCCCCCAUGGGAACCAGGGCCGUGCCAGCGAUGUAACAGGCCAGGCACAGGCCGCUGCUGGGCAGGGUGUGGGGAAUUCUUGGGGCUCACCAAGGAAGCACCAGGGGUGACUGCCCUGGCAUCCUGCUCUCUUGCUGACUGCUGGGCAGGCCCUGCCUCCACCACUCAGCCCACUUCCCCCGCUGGCCCUCCUUCCCUACCUGGGAAAGGGCGAGCUGGAGGAGCCCCAGGCCUCCCCCGCGCUGGGGGUUGCGAGUCUACUGUCCCCUCUGCUUUGCUCUGCUCCUCUCUGGCUGACAACGACAUGAGCAGCGGGACCUGGAGGUGCUCCAGCUGCCUCCAGGGACGAUCCCAGCAGGACCUGCCCCGGGCUGAGGCGCCCCGGCCCCAGGAGCCGCCUGCAGAGACCCCGGUACGCACAGCCCACUCCCAGACUCUCUGUCCUCCUGCUCCCUGCCUCCUGGCCACUUCUGUGGGUCAGGCCUGCCCCCGCCACAGGGCCAGGCACCCCUGCCCUAGCCUGGCCCCACCGAUUCAACUUUCUCCUGUGGGGCUAUGGGGGCGCUGGCCCCUGGGAAGCAGCCCUUACAAGGACCCGGUUUCCCAAGCCUCUGAUGUGGGGGCCCCGGCUGAGUCAGGGGAUGUCCUCUGACUACUGAUAAUGUUCUCCAUGAAUGUUCCGAGCGUUCCGUGGCCACAAAGACAUGAAGGAUGCGACAUGUGCCCCAGUGUGUGCUGUGUCUCCUGGGACAGCCUGUGAGGUCCCAGGGCUCCUGCCUUCACGUGGGGAAAGGGCCAGGGACCCUGCGGGGGCUACAGAGCCAGGAAUUGCACCUGGGCCUCUCCCACCUGCGGGUUCUUCCCACAACACGGGCCCGCGGUUCCCAGAGUCCCAGGGGUCAUUAACUCCCGUGCCGUGCUGGGCAAGUUCCCUGUGGCCCCUCUGAGCACUGACCCUCUGGUUCCAGGUCCUCUUGGGACUGAGGUCAGCCGGAGAGGAGGCUAGGGGACUGCCCAGGGAGCCCCCAGCGGGAAUGGAUGCUGCUGUCACCUACAAGCACCUGCUGGCCCCACCUUCCGCAGUCCCCCUUCCUGUGCUGGACCCCUCAGCCCUGCGCCCCCUACUGUGUGUGGGCCCUGAGGGGCCACAGGUGAGGGGGGUGCUGGGGUCCAGGUGGUUGUCCUCAGGGAGCUCGGGGUCCAGGGGCAGCCAGGGAAGCUGAAAUAGGAGAGGACAGGCAGGGGGAAGGAGGCAGGAGUCAGAUGGGCGUUAGGGCUGGGGGCUGGGGGAGGCCCCUGCAAGGAGCAGCCAGGCUGGUCCUGGGGAGGGCGUCGGGCGGGAGCAGGCUGGAAGGAGGCACGGGGGCUGCUGGGGCUGUGAGGUUACCCAGAACCAGGUGGGAGCUCUGAGAGGCAGGGGGAGGGGACGGGGGUGUGACCCUUCUCUCUGGAUCUUGAAACCCUCAUUACACCUGCCUCACAAAGAUACGGCUGUAAACGGGGCGGUUUGGAGCCCCAGGCCUCCCAGCCCCCUCUGGGGUAGCGUCCUUUCGGGGACCCCCGACCAGCCCCAAGAGGGACCGAGGUCGGGGCGCCUGGUUUCUCCAAGUUAGAGGGCCCUUGACUUCCCUUGGCCGGGAUCUCGAAACCUCGCCGC